This 1650-nucleotide ribosomal RNA is filed under the name Salmonella enterica subsp. enterica serovar Braenderup. Its description in RNAcentral is "partial 23S ribosomal RNA". It matches the Rfam family "Bacterial large subunit ribosomal RNA", at positions 67 to 1757 of the family's 2925-position model. Lineage: Bacteria; Pseudomonadati; Pseudomonadota; Gammaproteobacteria; Enterobacterales; Enterobacteriaceae. The record is from RNAcentral.
UGCGAUAAGCGCCGGUAAGGUGAUAUGAACCGUUAUAACCGGCGAUACCCGAAUGGGGAAACCCAGUGUGAUUCGUCACACUAUCAUUAACUGAAUCCAUAGGUUAAUGAGGCGAACCGGGGGAACUGAAACAUCUAAGUACCCCGAGGAAAAGAAAUCAACCGAGAUUCCCCCAGUAGCGGCGAGCGAACGGGGAGGAGCCCAGAGCCUGAAUCAGCAUGUGUGUUAGUGGAAGCGUCUGGAAAGGCGCGCGAUACAGGGUGACAGCCCCGUACACAAAAGCGCAUGUGCUGUGAGCUCGAUGAGUAGGGCGGGACACGUGGUAUCCUGUCUGAAUAUGGGGGGACCAUCCUCCAAGGCUAAAUACUCCUGACUGACCGAUAGUGAACCAGUACCGUGAGGGAAAGGCGAAAAGAACCCCGGCGAGGGGAGUGAAAAAGAACCUGAAACCGUGUACGUACAAGCAGUGGGAGCACCCUUUUGGGUGUGACUGCGUACCUUUUGUAUAAUGGGUCAGCGACUUAUAUUCUGUAGCAAGGUUAACCGCAUAGGGGAGCCGGAGGGAAACCGAGUCUUAAUUGGGCGUUAAGUUGCAGGGUAUAGACCCGAAACCCGGUGAUCUAGCCAUGGGCAGGUUGAAGGUUGGGUAACACUAACUGGAGGACCGAACCGACUAAUGUUGAAAAAUUAGCGGAUGACCUGUGGCUGGGGGUGAAAGGCCAAUCAAACCGGGAGAUAGCUGGUUCUCCCCGAAAGCUAUUUAGGUAGCGCCUCGUGAAUUCAUCUCCGGGGGUAGAGCACUGUUUCGGCUAGGGGGCCAUCCCGGCUUACCAACCCGAUGCAAACUGCGAAUACCGGAGAAUGUUAUCACGGGAGACACACGGCGGGUGCUAACGUCCGUCGUGAAGAGGGAAACAACCCAGACCGCCAGCUAAGGUCCCAAAGUCAUGGUUAAGUGGGAAACGAUGUGGGAAGGCCCAGACAGCCAGGAUGUUGGCUUAGAAGCAGCCAUCAUUUAAAGAAAGCGUAAUAGCUCACUGGUCGAGUCGGCCUGCGCGGAAGAUGUAACGGGGCUAAACCAUGCACCGAAGCUGCGGCAGCGACGCUUAUGCGUUGUUGGGUAGGGGAGCGUUCUGUAAGCCUGCGAAGGUGGCCUGUGAGGGUUGCUGGAGGUAUCAGAAGUGCGAAUGCUGACAUAAGUAACGAUAAAGCGGGUGAAAAGCCCGCUCGCCGGAAGACCAAGGGUUCCUGUCCAACGUUAAUCGGGGCAGGGUGAGUCGACCCCUAAGGCGAGGCCGAAAGGCGUAGUCGAUGGGAAACGGGUUAAUAUUCCCGUACUUGGUGUUACUGCGAAGGGGGGACGGAGAAGGCUAUGUUGGCCGGGCGACGGUUGUCCCGGUUUAAGCGUGUAGGUGUGUGUUCCAGGUAAAUCCGGUUCACUUUAACACUGAGGCGUGACGACGAGGCACUACGGUGCUGAAGCAACAAAUGCCCUGCUUCCAGGAAAAGCCUCUAAGCAUCAGGUAACAUCAAAUCGUACCCCAAACCGACACAGGUGGUCAGGUAGAGAAUACCAAGGCGCUUGAGAGAACUCGGGUGAAGGAACUAGGCAAAAUGGUGCCGUAACUUCGGGAGAAGGCACGCUGACAC